Molecule: ribosomal RNA, 301 nt
Filed under: uncultured bacterium
Lineage: Bacteria
Description: bacterial SSU rRNA
Rfam family: Bacterial small subunit ribosomal RNA
Source: RNAcentral
GUGCCAGCAGCCGCGGUAAUACGGAGGGUGCAAGCGUUGUUCGGAAUUAUUGGGCGUAAAGCGCGUGUAGGCGGCUGUUUAAGUCUGAUGUGAAAUCCCUGGGCUCAACCCGGGAAGUGCAUUGGAGACUGGACAGCUUGAGUACGGGAGAGGGGAGUGGAAUUCCGAGUGUAGGGGUGAAAUCCGUAGAUAUGCGGAGGAACACCGGUGGCGAAGGCAGCUACCUGGGCCGUUACUGACGCUGAUGCGCGAAAGCGUGGGGAGCAAACAGGAUUAGAUACCCUGGCAGUCCACGCCGUAA